This 2149-nucleotide ribosomal RNA is filed under the name Triticum aestivum (bread wheat). Its description in RNAcentral is "partial small subunit ribosomal RNA". The record is from RNAcentral. Lineage: Eukaryota; Viridiplantae; Streptophyta; Magnoliopsida; Poales; Poaceae.
UAAGAAAAGAAAAAAAAGACUCUAGAGCAGCAGCGCCUCUCAAAUUUGCUGAUCAUUAGUUGGUGUUCAGAGCGGAGGUUCGAGUUUGUGGCCAGGGGUUGGAGAAAUCGGAGCCGAGCUGGCCGGCCUGUGGUGGCCCGGGUUGAUACUACGACGCUGGACGAGGAGUCUGGGGAUAGGGCUCCUCCCAGGUACAGGAACCUGCAGGACAUCGAUGCCGAUUUGAUAGGUCAGAAUCGGGGGUUGAGAUAUCAAGUUCAGUCCUUAGUGCAGCAGAUGGAGGCCAUGCAAGCACAACUGGCCCGAAUCGCUGUUGGCGGGUGACUGCGGGAUGUGCCAGAAGAGCAGGGGCAGCGAGGAUGCUUCAUACGACAGCGACAACUCUUCGGAGGACUAUCUACUGAAGAAUUUGCGGAUUGGAUGGAUGAAGUAGAGCGCAUCUUCGAUUAUGCAGAGUUUCCAGAGGAUGAACGUGUCCCUGCAGUAGCAACGCGGCUAAAGGGCCGUGCCUCUAUUUGGUGGAAGAAUUUGGAACAGAGUCGAAAAGUCCAUCACAAGCGAGAGAUUGAUUCUUGACUGCAAUGAAGGAGAAAAUGCAGAGAGAAUUUCUUCCCUUUAAUUAUGAGGAAGCCCUGUUCAGACAGCUCCAAAACUUACGACAAGGCAACAAGAGUGUCGGUGAAUAUACAGAUGAGUUCUAUCAAGUAGUCUCACGAAACAAUUUAAGUGAUUCAAAGAGUCAGUUAGUGGCAAGAUACAUUGGAGGCUUACAUCAGUCCAUCCAAGAUGUGCUUACUCUACAUGUCAAUUUUUUAGUGUCAGAGGCGUGUGAGCGAGCGUUCGCCAUUGAGAAGUAGCUGCAGGGGCCAUUACUUGGUGGUGGUAAUUUAUCUCGGACAUGCCCUUAUACAACAUCACCCAAGACAGUUGUGGAUAGCAGCAAAGCAAGGAAAAUGGGGUCUGCACCCACACCAAAAGGAGGUACAGAUUUGUCUAAAUAUUCUACAGCCAAGAGUGCUAAUUGUUACAAGUGUGGAUCUUCUGAACAUCUAAAAAGGAUUUCCCAAAGAACUGUCGUGAUGGAAAGGGAUUGAUGGCAGAAUUGGAUGAAGAGUUCCAGCAGCAAGGAUGAGCCUGUGUAUGAUGAUUCUGAAGGUGAUGAAGUUGAGUUAGACGGAGAUACAGGGGAUAUGUUGGUAAUGGAGCGAGCUUUGAUGAUACCUCCAAAUAAAGACAAAGAUUGGCGCCAACGGAGCUUGUUCCACACACGUUGUACUAUUACUGGAAAGUAUGUCAUGUUAUUAUUGAUACUGGCAGCUGGGAGAACACUAUAUCAAAGGAGGCGGUAAAUAAACUGGGGCUUAAGAAGGAAAAUCAUCCUUGUCCUUAUAACGUGCGCUGGUUCAAACCUGACAAGGUAUCCAAGCCAUUUGAGUCAGUCAUGGGAAAAUCUGGAGUGAAAACAAGGUCUUCUGAGUAGUCAGUGCUACCUGUCGGUGCAGAUUUCCUGCUGGUUACAGAUAGCUCCUCAGAGGAGGAUUCAGAGACAGAUGAACAGUCGUAUCCCCUCCCCCUGAGCCAUUUGAGUCGGUUGUGGAAAAAUCAGGAGUGAAAACAAGGUCUUCAGAGUAGACAAUGGUACCUGUUGAAGCAUAUAUCUCGAUGGUUACAGGUAGCUCCUCAGAGGAGGAUUCAGAGACAGAUGAUCAGUCAUAUAUCCCACCUGAGGUUAUCUUCCGAGCUACGGCAUUGAUCCGUUCAUGGUCAUUACUCACUCCGAUGGAGGCCAGGGAGCAUUUGGUUACUGGGUCUAUCCGUUGGGAGAUGGUUGCUCGGGAUAUAUUCAACCGGUUUGGAUGGCGUUGAUGUAAUAGGAUAGGCCAUUAAUUUACCUAUCUUCUAUAGCCAGCCGGUUGUGGCAUUUUAUUUCUGGCUAGUUUGUGUUUCUAGCCUUCUGAGCUCUGUGUGGGCUGCUUUUUUCUUUAUUUGAGAUUGAGACUAUGGAACUUUGUAUGCACAUUUUGUUGCUUGGUUAAUAAGAUGGCUGUAUGCAUCACUCUUGAUGCAGAGGCCGGCGAGUCCCCCCUUUUCGAAAAAAAAACUACUUUCCAAUUUGAAGGAUCCAAUUGAAACUCCAAUGGCACAAUAG